RNAcentral lists this ribosomal RNA (246 nucleotides) under uncultured bacterium. RNAcentral describes it as "partial 16S ribosomal RNA". It matches the Rfam family "Bacterial small subunit ribosomal RNA", at positions 524 to 766 of the family's 1533-position model. The record is from RNAcentral.
UACGUAGGGGGCAAGCGUUUGUCCGGAUUUAUUGGGCGUAAAGAGCGUGUAGGCGGUUCGGUAGGUCCGUUGUGAAAACUCGAGCUCAACCUCGAGACGCCGAUGGAAACCCCCGAACUAGAGUCCGGAAGAGGAGAGUGGAAUUCCCGGUGUAGCGGUGAAAUGCGUAGAUAUCGCUUGGAACGCCAAAGGUGAAAACAGGUUGCUGGGGUUGUGCCGACGCUGAGGACACGAAAAAGCCCAGGG